Molecule: ribosomal RNA, 319 nt
Filed under: uncultured eukaryote
Lineage: Eukaryota
Description: partial 18S ribosomal RNA
Rfam family: Eukaryotic small subunit ribosomal RNA
Source: RNAcentral
CCCUUAGACGUCCUGGGCCGCACGCGUGCUACACUGACGCCUACAGCGAGUACUUCCCAGCCCCGAGAGGUGGCUGGUAAUCAGCAAUAGGCGUCGUGAUGGGGAUAGAUCUUUGGAAUUAUGGAUCUUGAACGAGGAAUGCCUAGUAAGCGCAGGUCAUUAGCCUGCGUUGAUUAAGUCCCUGCCCUUUGUACACACCGCCCGUCGCUCCUACCGAUUUCGAGUGGUCCGGUGAAUCUUUCGGACUGCGCGCGGCUUCGUGCCGUGUCGCGGAAAGUCAGGUAAACCUUAUCACUUAGAGGAAGGAGAAGUCGUANCA